Small nuclear RNA from Octodon degus (degu), 160 nucleotides. Its record names the gene U1. It matches the Rfam family "U1 spliceosomal RNA". Rfam says of the family: U1 is a small nuclear RNA (snRNA) component of the spliceosome (involved in pre-mRNA splicing). Its 5' end forms complementary base pairs with the 5' splice junction, thus defining the 5' donor site of an intron. The record is from Ensembl. NCBI's taxonomy places the organism in Eukaryota, Metazoa, Chordata, Mammalia, Rodentia, Octodontidae.
AUACUUACCUGGCAGAGACAGAUACCAUGAUCACGAAGAUGGUUUCCCUAGGGGGAUCAUCCAUUGCACCCUGGAUGUGCUGCCCCUGCGAUUUCCCUAAAUGUGGGAAACUCAACUGCAUUAUUUGUGGUAAUGAGGGACUGCGUUCAUGCUUCCCUAU